Molecule: non-coding RNA, 18 nt
Filed under: Mus musculus (house mouse)
Lineage: Eukaryota; Metazoa; Chordata; Mammalia; Rodentia; Muridae
Source: RNAcentral
UGAGAAUGAUGCAGGCUC